CUGACUAUCUCGGCAACCGGCUUCAUUCUUAAUGACCCCAGAGGAAUGGACAUACAGAAAGAGGAAAGCAAAGAAGAAGCAUGGGGACCCAGGGAUUGGAUCUAAAAAUGGAGGUGAUGCACGGAGGAUGGAGCCAGCAAGCACAUGAGAGAAUGAAAAGCCAAGACUGCAAGCUGUGUUUGAAGCUGUAGCUGUCAGAUCUGUCC
RNAcentral lists this long non-coding RNA (206 nucleotides) under Chinchilla lanigera (long-tailed chinchilla). RNAcentral describes it as "lncRNA (ENSCLAG00000029057.1)". Lineage: Eukaryota; Metazoa; Chordata; Mammalia; Rodentia; Chinchillidae. The record is from RNAcentral.